RNAcentral lists this small nuclear RNA (20 nucleotides) under Arabidopsis thaliana (thale cress). RNAcentral describes it as "snRNA_18084". Lineage: Eukaryota; Viridiplantae; Streptophyta; Magnoliopsida; Brassicales; Brassicaceae. The record is from RNAcentral.
AGCCAAUUUCAUCACAGCUC